CGGGGUAGGUGUACAAUAGGCAAAUCCGUUGUAUAAUCCGAAGACGUGAUGUGGAGCGAAAUAAAGUAGCAAAGCGUGUGAGCCAUGUGCCGAGAAAAGCUGCUAUUGUGUAAUGCGUGCCCGUACCGUAAACCGACACAGGUGGAUGAGGAGAGAAUCCUAAGGCCGACGGAAGAAGCAUUGUUAAGGAAUUCGGCAAAAUGACCCCGUAACUUCGGGAGAAGGGGUGCCUGCGAGAGCAGGCCGCAGAGAAUAGGCUCAAGCAACUGUUUAGCAAAAACACAGGUCUAUGCGAAACCGAAAGGUGAAGUAUAUGGGCUGACGCCUGCCCGGUGCUGGAAGGUUAAGAGGAGAGGUUAGCGUAAGCGAAGCUUUGAAUUUAAGCCCCAGUAAACGGCGGCCGUAACGAUAACGGUCCUAAGGUAGCGAAAUUCCUUGUCGGGUAAGUUCCGACCCGCACGAAAGGCGUAAUGAUUUGAGCACUGUCUCGACAAUGCAUCCGGUGAAAUUGAAGUACCAGUGAAGAUGCUGGUUACCCGCGCCAGGACGGAAAGACCCCAUGGAGCUUUACUCCAGUUUGAUACUGGGAUUCGGUACUGCAUGUACAGGAUAGGUGGGAGACGAAGAAGGAUGGACGCCAGUCUGUCCGGAGUCGCUGUUGGGAUACCACCCCUGUAGUACUGGGUUUCUAACCAGUUGCCAUGAACUGGCAAUGGGACAAUGUCAGGCGGGGAGUUUGACUGGGGCGGUCGCCUCCGAAAGGGUAUCGGAGGCGCUCAAAGGUUCCCUCAGAAUGGUUGGAAACCAUUUGAAGAGUGCAAAGGCAGAAGGGAGCUUGACUGCGACACCGACGGGUGGAGCAGGUACGAAAGUAGGACUUAGUGAUCCGGUGGUAUAAAGUGGGAUUGCCAUCGCUCAACGGAUAAAAGCUACCCUGGGAUAACAGGCUUAUCACUCCCAAGAGUUCACAUCGACGGAGUGGUUUGGCACCUCGAUGUCGGCUCAUCGCAUCCUGGGGCUGUAGCAGGUCCCAAGGGUUGGGCUGUUCGCCCAUUAAAGCGGUACGCGAGCUGGGUUCAGAACGUCGUGAGACAGUUCGGUCCCUAUCCGGCGCGGGCGGGGGAUAUUUGAGAGGAGCUGUCCUUAGUACGAGAGGACCGGGAUGGACGGACCACUGGUGUAUCUGUUGUCGACCAACGGCAUGGCAGUGUAGCCAAGUCUGGAAGGGAUAAACGCUGAAGGCAUCUAAGCGUGAAGCCCCCCUCAAGAUGAGAUAUCCCUCCUUCGGGAGUAAGGCCCCUUGAAGACUACAAGGUAGAUAGGGCAGAGGUGGAAGCAUGGCAACAUGUGGAGCUGACUGUUACUAAUAGGUCGAGGGCUUACU
Molecule: ribosomal RNA, 1384 nt
Filed under: metagenome
Description: bacterial LSU rRNA
Rfam family: Bacterial large subunit ribosomal RNA
Source: RNAcentral